UACGAAGGGGGCGAGCGUUGUUCGGAAUUACUGGGCGUAAAGGGCGCGCAGGCGGCUCUUCAAGUCAGGCGUGAAAGCCCCGGGCUUAACCUGGGAAUUGCGGUUGGGACUGGAGGGCUUGAGUGCGGCAGAGGAGACUGGAAUUCCUGGUGUAGCACUGAAAUGCGUAGACAUCAGGAGGAACACCGAUGGCGAAGGCAGGUCUCUGGGCUGACACUGACGCUCAUGCACGAAAGCGUGGGGAGCGAAUGGG
This 253-nucleotide ribosomal RNA is filed under the name uncultured bacterium. Its description in RNAcentral is "partial 16S ribosomal RNA". It matches the Rfam family "Bacterial small subunit ribosomal RNA", at positions 524 to 776 of the family's 1533-position model. The record is from RNAcentral.